RNAcentral lists this unclassified non-coding RNA (369 nucleotides) under Hevea brasiliensis (rubber tree). The record is from RNAcentral. Lineage: Eukaryota; Viridiplantae; Streptophyta; Magnoliopsida; Malpighiales; Euphorbiaceae.
GGGCGUUCUCUCUCCAGUUUGAAGACGAUCAUCCCGCUGUCAUGACCGGCUGCAAGAAGGUUCAUUUCUGGAUGUGCGGCAAGAAUCCAGAAUCGGUCAUGCUCACGACGGAAUGUCUGGAUACCAGUGCGCUUUGUAGCAUCCCAGAUGCGGAUGCUCUUGUCUUCAGAGUUGGAGACUAUAAUGUCUUGCUUAGCAUGAAACAUCACGCAUGAUACGUUAUUCAUGUGCCCUCUUAAUGUGUCCACUUCCCAGGCCUUUGUAUCAUUCAUUCGCCACAAUUUCACUUGACGAUCAUCAGCCCCCGACACAAUCAAAGGUAGUGAAGGAUGGAAUGAAGCCCAGUUAACUCCCCGAUCAUGCCCCUCA